This is an RNA transcript of Polyodon spathula (Mississippi paddlefish), 3172 nucleotides long. It is a transcript of the gene named major facilitator superfamily domain-containing protein 10-like, with no coding region annotated. Lineage: Eukaryota; Metazoa; Chordata; Actinopteri; Acipenseriformes; Polyodontidae. The record is from RefSeq and is a predicted model, not a curated record. The transcript has 11 exons.
CUGUGUUUUUUUGCUUGGGCUAUAGUGGAGUUUUAAUGAUGAAUUAAUUAUCCUGCUGCUGCUUUAGUACUAGGGACAUGUUUAGAUCACAAAAUUAGGCAUUGCUUGAAGAAUGGGAAAAGCCUGCAGAUAAAAGUUCCCAAAGGAAUGUAAUCCAUCAGGAAACCCAACAGUUUGGUGGUUUGUUAUGAAGCUGGCUAGAAUGCACUGAUUUACUAGUCAUUUAAUUAUUAAUGGAGCUUCUUCAGUGAAAUAUGUCGGAAAGUGAAUCAGUGGGGAACAGUGCUAUGGAAAGCCCAGGAAAAAGCAGUCCCAAGAUGGACAGCGGCACUUCUCGAGUCAUAAUAAUUGUAUUCCUGGCUCUCCUGAUAGAUCUGCUAGGAUUCACUCUUAUUCUACCGCUGCUUCCCUCAAUUUUGGAUGACUAUGGGAAGACACAUGAUGGUGUAUAUCAAUUACUACAGAGCAUCGUGGACUGGUUUGGUGAAACGAUAGGAGUUCCUGUUGAAAGAAAAUACAACAAUGUUCUCUUUGGAGGUCUGGUCAAGGACUAUUUUGGAAGAAGACCAUUAAUGAUGAUUUCAACAGUGGGGUUGAUGGCUUCUUAUGCACUCUGGGCUGUUUCCUGGAACUUCAGUGUCUUCCUUCUCUCGAGAGUGGUUGGAGGAAUAUGCAAAGGGAACGUCAGUCUUUGCACAGCUAUCAUUGCUGACCUGCCGUGCCCCAAAAUGCGAAAAAAAGGAAUGGCCAUGAUUGGUGUUGCCUUCUCCCUUGGUUUCACUGUUGGCCCAAUGAUUGGUGCAUACUUUGCUAUGAACACAGCCAAGCAGGAGAUAUUUUACCUUAGCCCAGCACUGUUGGGCCUAAUGUUUUCUACUGCUGACUUAUUAUUCAUCUUCCUAAUGCUUCCAGAGACGCUUCACAAAGAAAACAGAGUGAGUUACUGAAGACAGAUAACUUUUAAGGAUCUUUAAUAAUGACGACACUGGUCAUACAAAAUGUCAUGUGUUCUAGUGCGGUUAGUGGAAGCCUCUUUUUUAUAGACCACGGGAGCAUUAUGACUCGCCCUCUAAACACAAGCCUAGUCUGCAUUCCAUACAUACUAGAUUAGCUCUAGUCUAUGCCCAUCUGGACCUUGAAUAGGUUUUUGGUUAAAGUUGGUGAGGGUCUGUAAAAAGAAUGAGGGCUAUUAUUCUGAUAACUAAAUCUACCAUAAAUAGCGUUACUGUGCUGUAUGCAUUAAGCGAUAUGGGUCAGCAAUCCUUAUUUUUAAAAUAGUAGCAUAUUACAGUUGAGAUUCCAUUGAUUUGUAUUGUUAUAUGUCAGCAUGGGGAAAACAAGGGUAUAUUAAUACAUCUGUCCAAUGGUUGGGCAUGCUGGAAUUUGUAUAUGGCACUUUCAACUCACAAAACAAUUUGCUUGUUGAAUUGUGUUAUGUAGAAUAAGCUGAACGUGAAUUAAAUAGCUAUAAUAAAUUCCACCUUUCCCUUGAACUUUUCAGUUAUUUUGAGUUCAGCGUAUGCAUUAUACUGAGACUGAGCUAAAAGUGGACUUGCCCAAGGUCUCACAGUUAGUCUUCUGCCAAAUGAUAUCUGUUAAGACCCGAGGGCUGCUUCAGUAUAUUUGUGAUUCUUUUCAAGAUCUUCAAUAAUAAUACCUUUAAAAUCUCUUUUACUGAAAAGCAGUCCAACAGCUUCAAAGAAACUUAUUUAGCCCAUACAAGAAUUCUGUUUACCCUCUCCAACCCUUUCUAGAAUUCCUCAUGUAAUCUAGCAGAAAUCUCUGUUUCUCAGGUUCCUUCUGUAAAUUCUGGGUUACAGGAAUCUGUUGACUUGCUCAGCCCAAUGGCACUGUUUCAGUUCUCUGCUGUUACUAGAAGAAAGGAUUCUCCUUCGAAGGAAAGUCUGCAGAACCUUAAAGUACUGGGCUUGGUCUACUUUUUCUACCUGUUUCUCUUCUCUGGACUGGAGUACACACUGAGCUUCCUCACUCAUUAGCGCUUCCACUUUAGCAGCAUGCAGCAGGGAAAGAUGUUUUGCUUCAUUGGAAUUACAAUGGCUGUCAUCCAAGGAGGUUACGCCCGGAGAAUCAAACCAGGAAGUCAGAUUAAAACCGUCAAGAGGGUGAAUACAAGGACUUCUGAAAAAUAUUGACCUAGGUUUCUAGCCAUGAUUUUUAAAACAAGAAAACAUAUAACAGCAUACCAACAAUGAUAUCAUUUAGGCGAUAAUCCUUUUGAUCCCAGCUUUCGUUCUGGUUGGUUUGGCUUGGAAUAUAACAAUGCUGUACAUUGGGUUGUUACUAUACUCAUUUGCUGCUGCUACUGUUGUGCCAUGCCUGUCCACACUGGUGUCUGCAUAUGGUUUGGCCAGUCAAAAGGGGACUGUGAUGGAGAUUCUUCGCAGUCUGGGCGCUCUUGCAAGAGCUUUAGGACCGAUUAUAGCAUCAACUGUGUAUUGGUGGGCUGGAGCAGAGAUAUGUUUCAUUAUUAGUUCUGCCUUCUUCAUUGUUCCUCUUGUGCUUUUGAGGCUUAUCAAACAGACGAAAACAGAGUGAAGAGAAGAUUGCCUCCAUUUAUUUAGUUAGUCUUGUUGGAAUUGAGGUUUUAGCAAUUAAACCAAAUGGUGCAUUUGCCAACUGUACAAAGUCCACUUCUUUAGGAUGACUCUGUAAGGUUAGUUUGCCAAGCACUUUGUUGUUCACACUUCACACCAAACCCUCUAAAUGGACCCAGUGUGAACACAGCCUAACACUAUAAAAAUACAUCAGAAUAAGGUCUGUGGAAGAACACAUUUAUCAAUUUAUGGUAGAUAGUACUUCUCAAAUUAAGCUGCUUUGGUGGGAUAUGGGAGUAACUGGUAGCUCAUGAGACAAAAUUCAAGUUUAGAGCCAGAUAUUAUGCUGCACUUAAAUAAGUGUUAGAUGAAUAAUCAUUUGUUUUAAAUAUAACCAUAUAGUACUUCUAUUGAUGCCAUACAAGUGCCUUUGUGUUUGUAUACAGUUUUUUUUACAAAUAAAAUAUUUGAAAUUUUUGUAUGUGUCAUUUUGUGGAGGAAGUUCCCUUUAACAAGGUUUGGUCGAUCAAUAAAUAUGUUUCCCUUUCAAGUUGAAAAUAACCAUCAAGGUAUGGGACAUUGCCGUCAGGCAGUAUGGAUUGGCUGAGCUUUAUAAC